UACGGAGGGUGCGAGCGUUGUCCGGAAUUACUGGGCGUAAAGGGUUCGUAGGUGGCCUGCUAAGUCACACGUGAAAUCCCUCAGCUUAACUGGGGAACUGCGUGUGAUACUGGCGAGCUUGAGUGCAGGAGAGGAACGCGGAAUUCCAGGUGUAGCGGUGAAAUGCGUAGAUAUGUGGAGGAAUACCGGUGGCGAAGGCGGCCUCCUGGUUCAAUACUGACGCUGAGGUGCGAAAGCGUGGGGAGCAAACAGG
This 253-nucleotide ribosomal RNA is filed under the name uncultured bacterium. RNAcentral's name for it is "partial 16S ribosomal RNA". It matches the Rfam family "Bacterial small subunit ribosomal RNA", at positions 524 to 776 of the family's 1533-position model. The record is from RNAcentral.